Long non-coding RNA from Rosa rugosa (rugosa rose), 595 nucleotides. RefSeq lists it as uncharacterized. The record is from RefSeq and is a predicted model, not a curated record. The transcript is spliced from 5 exons. NCBI's taxonomy places the organism in Eukaryota, Viridiplantae, Streptophyta, Magnoliopsida, Rosales, Rosaceae.
UCAAGUUCCGAUGGUGGUGCAGCUGGUCUGAAGACUAAAUCAAGUUCAUUCUCAGUUCGAAUCCUCGCGUUCUACUCUUGUUUGUUCAAGUUUGAGGAAGUAGUGCAGACACAGAAGCUAAAGCUUAAUUAUCACUGGAGGUUCUCGCGCAAAGACAUGACUAUUGACAGGAAGCUUAUCUCCUCUUCUUUUCCUCCUUGCUUCGGGUUAACUCCAUCUUCCAGAAAACAGCAUAAUGAAUUUCAGAAUAUCACUAUGCCAAAGAUUGAAUAUAAAGCAUCUCGUUACCAGUACUCCUGUUUACAGCAAUGCCUCUGAUGUCACAGGGGAAGGAUUGAGUUUGAUGUUCAGGUGCUGGGCUACUAAAAAACAAGCUGGAUCCUCAAAGAAUGGGCGAGACUCUUUACCUAAGAAUCUUGGAGUGAAGAAAUUCGGUGGAGAGAAGGCACCGUAAAGUUUGAAAAGCACAAGCUCAGUGGACGUAAGUGGGUGCAUGUAGAGUCCAAAGAAGGUCAUGUGCUUUACCCUAUAUAUGCGAAUGCUGCAGCAGCUGAGAUGGUGAAGACAGUCUGAGUUCUUCUUACAAAUGAAUUCU